AUUGAACGCUGGCGGAAUGCUUUACACAUGCAAGUCGAACGGCAGCACGAGAGCUUGCUCUUGGUGGCGAGUGGCGAACGGGUGAGUAAUAUAUCGGAACGUAUCCAAUAAUGGGGGAUAACUAAUCGAAAGGUUGGCUAAUACCGCAUACGCCCUACGGGGGAAAGCAGGGGAUCUUCGGACCUUGCGUUAAUGGAGCGGCUGAUAUCUGAUUAGCUAGUAGGUGAGGUAAAGGCUCACCUAGGCUUCGAUCAGUAGCUGGUCUGAGAGGACGACCAGCCACACUGGAACUGAGACACGGUCCAGACUCCUACGGAGGCAG
This 322-nucleotide ribosomal RNA is filed under the name uncultured Pseudomonadota bacterium. RNAcentral's name for it is "bacterial SSU rRNA". It matches the Rfam family "Bacterial small subunit ribosomal RNA", at positions 30 to 351 of the family's 1533-position model. The record is from RNAcentral. Lineage: Bacteria; Pseudomonadati; Pseudomonadota.